RNAcentral lists this transfer RNA (72 nucleotides) under Camelus bactrianus (Bactrian camel). It matches the Rfam family "tRNA". Rfam says of the family: Transfer RNA (tRNA) molecules are approximately 80 nucleotides in length. Their secondary structure includes four short double-helical elements and three loops (D, anti-codon, and T loops). Lineage: Eukaryota; Metazoa; Chordata; Mammalia; Artiodactyla; Camelidae. The record is from Rfam by way of RNAcentral. RNAcentral also lists the same sequence under 2 other names.
GAGGGUAUAGCUCAGUGGUAGGGCGCAUGCGUAGCUCACAUCAGGUCCUGGGUUCAAUUCCCAGUACCUCUG